CAGAACGAGUCGGAACUCCACAAACAGAAGAUGAACAAGUUCCUAUUUACAUUCGUCGUUAUCGGAAUUAUUCUGUUAGAAAGUAGCGAAGGUCGAUACGUGAAAAUCGAAGGACGUGAUCGAUUCAAUUUAAAACGAAGAAAUUCCGAAGGAAGUCUUGCAAAUGUACAAAAUAAAGAUGUUGAUACAAAUGCUAAAGCACUUGGUAGUCAGGAUAUUUCGCCACAUAGUAUAACUGGUAUUGGGCUUGUUAGUGCAGUUAUUAGCCCUCUCGAUCCUGAUACUGUUAAAGUUUUAAGUGCUGUUCUUGACGAUAUUGACAAAGGCCUAAAUAAUUUAUUUGGUGUAGUUGAUAAUCUUGAUGAUCUCGUCAAGAUUUACAAGACGAUCUUCGUGAUAUCAAGGAAAUAGUCUUAAGAAAAGAAAAUAUAAGAAAAGGAUUGAAGCACUGAGAAGAUUUUAUAAUUAGAACGAAAGAAGUUAACCUAUAAUUGGUGCACCUCAAAGUCAAACUUCGGGUUUCACUUCUAUAAUAUAUUAUAUUAUAUUAUAUGUUAUAUGUUGAAUGCUUUUUAAAAAUUGUAACUGUGAUAUUAAAUUAUUAAUAAAGA
This 611-nucleotide unclassified non-coding RNA is filed under the name Centruroides sculpturatus (bark scorpion). Its description in RNAcentral is "uncharacterized LOC111639852, transcript variant X2". The record is from RNAcentral. Lineage: Eukaryota; Metazoa; Arthropoda; Arachnida; Scorpiones; Buthidae.